CGACCGGGUGCGUCCCGAGAUCAAUAAUAGAUUUUGGAUCUGACUGGGUGCGUCCCGAGAUCAGUGAAUGUAGGGAGAAAGUGAGUAACAAUCGAACGUACAUGGGCGCCCUCGACAAGAAAAUAUUUUUGUCAUGCUUAGAAGUGGGAUUUCGUUUUAAAACCUUCUAAGUCAUGAUUUUGAUAUUGGAUAAACUGCCUUAACAUUUCAUAAAAUAUUUCGAAAACUUGUGCCCACUGAGUACAUUAGUACUCAGCCCAAAUUAUUUUCAAAUGUUUUCAGGUUGAUCAGUUGGUGCAGAUGAGGCUGAGCUGAGGCUAAGGUUCCACGAUGUCUUUUGUUUCCGCUAAUAACUAUCUUGUCACCUCAUCCUCCAUCCCCUAAAUUGAGAAUUUCUAUUGUGUGGUAUAAUAUUAUCUUGUUGGGCUUAGACUCUUAACCCAUAUUUCUUUUAAUGAAGCCAUCACUGAUUAUGAUCAGAGUCACGAAACUAAACUUAUGCGAUCCUGAGUUCGAAUAUUGUCAUUUGAUUAGCAUCUCUUAAUGCCUUUUAUUUUAUCUCCUUUCAUCUUAUCUCUUUAGAUAUGCAUACCCGAUUUAAUGGGUAAAUUGGCAAGUUUAUUCAGCUCAAUUAAGUUCUUCAAUUAUUUUCCUAUUUCUUCUUGCCGUGGAAAAGUCGGGUCGUUACA
RNAcentral lists this long non-coding RNA (689 nucleotides) under Salvia miltiorrhiza (redroot sage). RNAcentral describes it as "long non-coding RNA (SMIL_LNC005032)". Lineage: Eukaryota; Viridiplantae; Streptophyta; Magnoliopsida; Lamiales; Lamiaceae. The record is from RNAcentral.